GUAGGUGGCAAGCGUUGUCCGGAAUUAUUGGGCGUAAAGCGCGCGCAGGCGGUUCUUUAAGUCUGAUGUGAAAGCCCACGGCUCAACCGUGGAGGGUCAUUGGACACUGGAGAACUUGAGUACAGAAGAGGAAAGCGGAAUUCCACGUGUAGCGGUGAAAUGCGUAGAGAUGUGGAGGAACACCAGUGGCGAAGGCGGCUUUCUGGUCUGUAACUGACGCUGAGGCGCGAAAGCGUGGGGGGAGCAAACAGGAUUAGAUACCCUGGUAGUCCACGCCGUAAACCGAUGAGUGCUAAGUGUUAGGGGGUUUCCGCCCCCCCCUUAGUGCUGCAGCUAACGCAUUAAGCACUCCGCCUGGGAGUACGGCCGCAAGGCUG
This 377-nucleotide ribosomal RNA is filed under the name uncultured organism. Its description in RNAcentral is "partial 16S ribosomal RNA". It matches the Rfam family "Bacterial small subunit ribosomal RNA", at positions 527 to 896 of the family's 1533-position model. The record is from RNAcentral.